UGAUCCUGCCGGAGGUUACUGCUAUCGAGGUUGANUAAUCAUGCGAGUCGAAUGUAGCAAUACAUGGCGUACUGCUCAGUAACACGUGGACAACCUACCCUUGGUCGGGGAUAAACCCGGGAAACUGGGUAUAAUACCCGAUAGAUCUCGACUGCUGGAAUGCAUCGGGAUCGAAAGCUCCGGCGCCUAAGGAUGGGUCUGCGGCCUAUCAGGUAGUAGUGGGUGUAGCGUACCUACUAGCCUACGACGGGUACGGGUUGUGAGAGCAAGAGCCCGGAGAUGGAUUCUGAGACAAGAAUCCAGGCCCUACGGGGUGCAGCAGGCGCGAAAACUUUACAAUGCUGGAAACAGCGAUAAGGGGACCUCGAGUGCCAGGUUACAAAUCUGGCUGUCGUGAUGCCUAAAAAGCAUUGCAUAGCAAGGGCCGGGCAAGACCGGUUCCAGCCGCCGCGGUAACACCGGCGGCUCGAGUGGUAACCGUUAUUAUUGGGUCUAAAGGGUCUGUAGCCGGCCGGAUAAGUCUCUUGGGAAAUCCAGCAGCUCAACUGUUGGGCUUUCAGGAGAUACUGUCUGGCUCGAGGCCGGGAGAGGUGAGAGGUACUUCAGGGGUAGGGGUGAAAUCUUGUAAUCCUUGAAGGACCACCAGUGGCGAAGGCGUCUCACCAGAACGGACCUGACGGCAAGGGACGAAAGCUAGGGGCACGAACCGGAUUAGAUACCCGGGUAGUCCUAGCCGUAAACGAUACUCGCUAGGUGUCGGCCACGGUGCGACCGUUGUCGGUGCCGUAGGGAAGCCGUGAAGCGAGCCACCUGGGAAGUACGGCCGCAAGGCUGAAACUUAAAGGAAUUGGCGGGGGAGCACCACAACGGGUGGAGCUUGCGGUUCAAUUGGAGUCAACGCCGGAAA
RNAcentral lists this ribosomal RNA (907 nucleotides) under uncultured archaeon. RNAcentral's name for it is "bacterial SSU rRNA". It matches the Rfam family "Archaeal small subunit ribosomal RNA", at positions 9 to 924 of the family's 1478-position model. The record is from RNAcentral.